RNAcentral lists this ribosomal RNA (253 nucleotides) under uncultured bacterium. RNAcentral describes it as "partial 16S ribosomal RNA". It matches the Rfam family "Bacterial small subunit ribosomal RNA", at positions 524 to 776 of the family's 1533-position model. The record is from RNAcentral.
UACGGAGGAUGCAGGCGUUAUCCGGAUUUAUUAGGUUUAAAGGGUGUCUAGGCUGUCGUAUAAGUCAGAGGUGAAAGUCGGUUGCUCAACGAUCGAAUUGCCUUUGAAACUGUAUGACUUGAGUAUGGAUGAGGUAGGCGGAAUGUGUAGUGUAGCGGUGAAAUGCAUAGAUAUUACACAGAACUCCGAUUGCGAAGGCAGCUUACCAAACCAGCACUGACGCUAAAGCACGAAAGCGUGGGGAGCGAACAGG